Molecule: ribosomal RNA, 404 nt
Filed under: uncultured Hyphomicrobiales bacterium
Lineage: Bacteria; Pseudomonadati; Pseudomonadota; Alphaproteobacteria; Hyphomicrobiales
Description: bacterial SSU rRNA
Rfam family: Bacterial small subunit ribosomal RNA
Source: RNAcentral
UGGGGAAUCUUGGACAAUGGGCGCAAGCCUGAUCCAGCCAUGCCGCGUGAGUGAAGAAGGCCUUCGGGUUGUAAAGCUCUUUUACCAGGGACGAUAAUGACGGUACCUGGAGAAUAAGCCCCGGCAAACUUCGUGCCAGCAGCCGCGGUAAUACGAAGGGGGCUAGCGUUGUUCGGAAUUACUGGGCGUAAAGCGCACGUAGGCGGGUCGUUAAGUCAGGGGUGAAAUCCCAGAGCUCAACUCUGGAACUGCCUUUGAUACUGGCGACCUAGAGUUCGGAAGAGGUUAGUGGAAUUCCCAGUGUAGAGGUGAAAUUCGUAGAUAUUGGGAAGAACACCAGUGGCGAAGGCGGCUAACUGGUCCGAUUACUGACGCUGAGGUGCGAAAGCGUGGGGAGCAAAACA